RNAcentral lists this ribosomal RNA (374 nucleotides) under Corynebacterium sp. F8AF1. RNAcentral's name for it is "bacterial SSU rRNA". It matches the Rfam family "Bacterial small subunit ribosomal RNA", at positions 363 to 744 of the family's 1533-position model. The record is from RNAcentral. Lineage: Bacteria; Bacillati; Actinomycetota; Actinomycetes; Mycobacteriales; Corynebacteriaceae.
AUUGCACAAUGGGCGCAAGCCUGAUGCAGCGACGCCGCGUGGGGGAUGAAGGCCUUCGGGUUGUAAACUCCUUUCGCUAUCGACGAAGCCACUUGUGGUGACGGUAGGUAGAUAAGAAGCACCGGCUAACUACGUGCCAGCAGCCGCGGUAAUACGUAGGGUGCAAGCGUUGUCCGGAAUUACUGGGCGUAAAGAGCUCGUAGGUGGUUUGUCGCGUCGUCUGUGAAAUCCCGGGGCUUAACUUCGGGCGUGCAGGCGAUACGGGCAUAACUUGAGUGCUGUAGGGGAGACUGGAAUUCCUGGUGUAGCGGUGAAAUGCGCAGAUAUCAGGAGGAACACCGAUGGCGAAGGCAGGUCUCUGGGCAGUUACUGAC